CAAGUAAUUUACUCAAGAUCACCCAGUCGGCUAGUAAACAGAGAAGAGAUUGAAGUAAGAUAGAUACGACUCGAAAGUCAUGUUCUUUCCUCCAUUCGGGGGGCUCUCCAACAGGGGCUCCAUCACAGUCAUCUGGGGCUCUCACAGGUACCUGAUGACGACAACAGCUUAAGAAGAUUCAAUUGGCUGGUGUGACUGAUAGAAUUAAGUGGCUAAUGACUGAGGAGGUGGGACAUUUUCAAUUCCAAACGAGUCCAAGGGAAAAUGAACUACGAUGACCAAAGAAGCAAACUGGAGGACUUCAACAGUAGAUAUAAGCAGUUAGUGAAAAUAAACCCAAUAUCUGGGAAGGGCACCAGUGCUUGAAAAUGGGGCUCUCUCUGCCUUGACAGAGCAGUGACAGAAUAGCACAGCAUAGUUUACUCCCACCUAAUCCUCUGUAAUCCCCAAUUGGAACAAUUAAUUACCCAAGGGGUCAUGCUCUAUUCCUGUGGUAUUUCUAUUGAGAGCUUUACGAGGUGGACAUGUGUCCAUUAUGAUGCAUUUUGACGGCUCCUUUCACUUAGAGCUGAGAAUAUUCGUUGAUUGUGGUCAGUACAUUUUCGUGUUGUAAAUGGAGUGUAGCUGAAGCGUUCCCUUGAUCACAGAUCACAGAAAACAGCAUAUGUUUAGAGAGGGAAAGAGAAAGGGAGAACAAGCCUGUGGAUUUAGAAAUCAUUUUGCUUGUCUAAACCUGGGCCUCGUUCCAUCCAGAUGACACAAACAGGAAGUGAGAUGAGAAGCAGAGCGGGUUCAAGUCAGGAUGUCACACGAAGAACAGCCAGUUGCCUUCAGAACUAAGAGAUUUAGGGAAGCACCAUAUUAUAAUAGGUUCAGAAACUGGAAAACAAAAUAGAGCCCGCCUAGGGCCUCAAACACCUGCUGAGUCUGAUGCUCUUCCUUUCUUGGUUUGACUGUCACUCACACAAUGACUCAUGUUCAGAUGACUGCUCACCUGAAGGCAUUUAACUAAUUGGCUUAAAUAAUUGAUAUAUCUAACCUCAUCUCUUAAAAUCAGAGGAUUUAUCAUUGUGACUUUUAAAAAUACCCUAGCAAAGCUUUGAAAAUCUAUUCAAUUCAUUGGCUCAUGCCCAGAAACAAAUCUGAGGACUUCACAUCAGUUAAACUUUUCCAGUUUGACUGUUUUUAAGGAA
Long non-coding RNA from Nyctereutes procyonoides (raccoon dog), 1193 nucleotides. RefSeq lists it as uncharacterized. The record is from RefSeq and is a predicted model, not a curated record. The transcript is spliced from 3 exons. NCBI's taxonomy places the organism in Eukaryota, Metazoa, Chordata, Mammalia, Carnivora, Canidae.